GCCCUUGUAGCUCAGCUGGAUAGAGCAUCUGCCUCCUAAGCAGAGGGUCCCCGGUUCGAGUCCGGGCAAGGGUAC
This 75-nucleotide transfer RNA is filed under the name subsurface metagenome. Its description in RNAcentral is "tRNA-Arg". It matches the Rfam family "tRNA". From Rfam's summary of the family: Transfer RNA (tRNA) molecules are approximately 80 nucleotides in length. The record is from RNAcentral.